CCUACGGGUGGCAGCAGUGGGGAAUAUUGCGCAAUGGGCGAAAGCCUGACGCAGCGACGCCGCGUGAGGGAUGAAGGUCUUCGGAUCGUAAACCUCUGUCAGCAGGGAAGAACGGUCACUGUGCUAAUCAGCAGUGAAUUGACGGUACCUGCAAAGGAAGCACCGGCUAACUCCGUGCCAGCAGCCGCGGUAAUACGGAGGGUGCGAGAGUUAAUCGGAAUUACUGGGCGUAAAGCGCUCGUAGGCGGUAUGUCAAGUCAAGGGUGAAAUCCCCGCGCUCAACGUGGGAACUGCAUUUGAAACUGGCAAACUGGAGUGUGUGAGAGGAUAGUGGAAUUCCAGGUGUAGGAGUGAAAUGCGUAGAUAUCUGGAGGAACAUCAGUGGCGAAGGCGACUAUCUGGCACAUAACUGACGCUGAGGAGCGAAAGCGUGGGUAGCAAACAGGAUUAGAUACCCCGGUAGUC
Molecule: ribosomal RNA, 465 nt
Filed under: uncultured bacterium
Lineage: Bacteria
Description: partial 16S ribosomal RNA
Rfam family: Bacterial small subunit ribosomal RNA
Source: RNAcentral